This 494-nucleotide ribosomal RNA is filed under the name uncultured diatom. RNAcentral's name for it is "bacterial SSU rRNA". It matches the Rfam family "Bacterial small subunit ribosomal RNA", at positions 410 to 916 of the family's 1533-position model. The record is from RNAcentral. Lineage: Eukaryota; Bacillariophyta.
GACUGCCUAUGGGUUGUAAACCUCUUUUUUCAGGGAGGAAAAAAAUGACGUGUACCUGAAGAAUAAGCAUCGGCUAACUCCGUGCCAGCAGCCGCGGUAAGACGGAGGAUGCAAGUGUUAUCCGGAAUCACUGGGCGUAAAGCGUCUGUAGGUGGUUAAAUAAGUCAACUGUUAAAUCUUGAGGCUUAACUCCAAAAUCGCAGUCGAAACUAUUUGACUUGAGUAUAGUAGAGGUAAAGGGAAUUUCCAGUGGAGUGGUGAAAUGCGUAGAUAUUGGAAAGAACACCGAUGGCGAAGGCACUUUACUGGGCUAUUACUAACACUCAGAGACGAAAGCUAGGGUAGCAAAUGGGAUUAGAUACCCCAGUAGUCCUAGCCGUAAACAAUGGAUACUAGAUGUUGAACAGAUCGACCUGUGCAGUAUUAAAGCUAACGCGUUAAGUAUCCCGCCUGGGAGGUAUGCUCGCAAGAGUGAAACUCAAAGGAAUUGACGG